This 406-nucleotide ribosomal RNA is filed under the name uncultured bacterium. RNAcentral's name for it is "partial 16S ribosomal RNA". It matches the Rfam family "Bacterial small subunit ribosomal RNA", at positions 30 to 526 of the family's 1533-position model. The record is from RNAcentral.
AUUGAACGCUGGCGGCAGGCCUAACACAUGCAAGUCGAACGAGUGGCGGACGGGUGAGUAAUGUCUGGGAAACUGCCCGAUGGAGGGGGAUAACUACUGGAACCGGUAGCUAAUACCGCAUAUCAUCGGAUGUGCCCAGACGGGACUGGCUCGUAGGUGGGGUAACGGCUCACCUAGGCGACGAGCCCUAGCUGGUCUGAGAGGAUGACCAGCCACUCUGGAACGGAGACACGGUGCAGACUCCUACGGGAGGCAGCAGUGGGGAAUAUUGCACAAGGGGCGCAAGCCUGAUGCAGCCAUGCCGCGUGUAUGAAGAAGGCCUUCGGGUUGUAAAGUACUUUCAGCGAGGAGGCGUUACUCGCAGAAGAAGCACCGGCUAACUCCGUGCCAGCAGCCGCGGUAAUUC